RNAcentral lists this ribosomal RNA (327 nucleotides) under Peribacillus simplex. Its description in RNAcentral is "bacterial SSU rRNA". It matches the Rfam family "Bacterial small subunit ribosomal RNA", at positions 1 to 318 of the family's 1533-position model. The record is from RNAcentral. Lineage: Bacteria; Bacillati; Bacillota; Bacilli; Caryophanales; Bacillaceae.
UCUUCGGAGAGUUUGAUCCUGGCUCAGGACGAACGCUGGCGGCGUGCCUAAUACAUGCAAGUCGAGCGAAUCGACGGGAGCUUGCUCCCUGAGAUUAGCGGCGGACGGGUGAGUAACACGUGGGCAACCUGCCUAUAAGACUGGGAUAACUUCGGGAAACCGGAGCUAAUACCGGAUACGUUCUUUUCUCGCAUGAGAGUAGAUGGAAAGACGGUUUACGCUGUCACUUAUAGAUGGGCCCGCGGCGCAUUAGCUAGUUGGUGAGGUAAUGGCUCACCAAGGCGACGAUGCGUAGCCGACCUGAGAGGGUGAUCGGCCACACUGGGA